RNAcentral lists this long non-coding RNA (771 nucleotides) under Lynx canadensis (Canada lynx). RNAcentral describes it as "lncRNA (ENSLCNG00005015020.1)". The record is from RNAcentral. Lineage: Eukaryota; Metazoa; Chordata; Mammalia; Carnivora; Felidae.
UGGGAACCUAGCCUACGGGCGCUUUCCUGUGGGGGCGGAGCGGCGUGUAGAGUCGGGGGGCGUUUCCGGGAAGUUAAAUGCCAGCUAAACUUAGAGGGUAAAGUGAGGUAAACUCAAGCGCUGCUUGAGGUUUAGUUCGGCCAGCACUUUGGCUUGUUCCUCGUGGACAGCGAGCGAUCAAAUUCGUGAAAAGAGGGAGUCCGGAAAUAGAGAGCAUGAGAAAACAUCUAAAGCAUCCAGAAAUCCUCUCCUGGACACCUUCCAAGAGGCAGCCUGAAUCAUCCUUCAGCCCCAGAGAAGGGGAAGCCAAUUUCAGGUGUUCAGAGGCUGAUCGAAGACUUGAGAUUGGCACAGCUUUUGAGGCCUGAAGGAGCUUUAGUGCUUUCAGGAAGCGAUUCUCCAGCCUGCUUCUGCUGAAAGAACCUCAGAUCUUCCCAGUGAGUAAACAUCUUGUUUUAGCUGAGACUGAGCAGAAAAAAAAAAAAAAAAAAAAAAAAAAAACCUGGGGAGAAACAAAAUUAAUUUCUUUGAACUUCUGUAAGUACAAGACAUUUUUAUGGAGUUUUAAUUGUUUUGGAUUUGAAGUGUUUGACCUUGAAAACUUUUAGCAUUUGCAUUUAGUUCAUCCUGGAAAUCUUAUUAAUAAGAAACCGUCUUCAAUAUGUGGAGCAAUGCUAUAUUGUAGGGCUUUUAUUAUGAGAGUACCUUUAUGAAACUUAUUAUUGGAAUAUCUUGUUGAUGUCAUUUAGUCUCCUUGAAGUCUUCUGAUAU